UACUAUGCCCUAAAUCGACUCUAACACAUCUCUUUUGCCCUAAAUCGAUACACCAACAAUCCCAGUUUGACAGCAUCGCACCGAUCCAUCAUCGCAGGUCCGUCGUCGCCGGUCCAUGGUCACUCCACACCCUCCCAUUGACGCACCUCUGUUCUCCACUCGAAGUCAAACUCGAAGUAAAACAGGUCGACGGUCCAUCGUCCUCCAUACCCUCCCAUUGCGCACCUCUGUUCUCCACUCGAAGUCAAACUCGAAGUCAAACAGGUUUCACAUGCAUGGGCUUUCCAUUAACCUUUGUGAAAUCAUCAAGAUGAUCAUCAACAACAGGUUUUACAGAUUUCAGACUUGUUCUUCCAAUUCUAGAGAUCUUUCCUUUACAUGAAUCAAGAUUCCAGUAAUCUGAACUUUUUUCACCAUGUUUGAACAAAUUAUUUCUCUCAAACCGCUUUUUAUUACCCCCUGAGGGCUCUUUUUGUAAAUUCUCACGAAACUGCAGCUCACAGAAGAAAGAAGGAACCUGCAGCUCAUAGAAGAAUGUUUCACCACCUGAGCUUUCUAUUUCACUUAAAAUGGUGAUCAUGGUGAUGGAAGUCCCGAAGAGGUUGAAAGAUCAAUUUUUGCAAUAAGUUUGAAAAAGGCUUCACCUUCUAUUCCAUUAGAGUUUGAUGCCUCAUCUUGUAAACUAGAUCUGCAGAUGUUAACUUAAUUGAACUCUUCAGAAUCUUGGUAUCUUCCUUAUUUUCAAACCAGAGGACAAUCAAGAGGCUGUUUUUACACAAACUUUGCAUCUAGUGGUAUCAGUCCUGGAUGGCUUUAAUGUAUGCAUUUUUGCAUAUGGACAAACUGGAACUGGAAAAACAUCCACAAUGGAAGGAACACCUGAACAGAGAGGAGUCAACUAUCGUACACUGGAGCAACUAUUCAAAUAAUCUGAAAAGAGAAGUAAACAACAACUAUUCAUGAGAUAUGGAACUCUUUAUCAGCAUAUUAGUUGAAGACACUGAAAACUCUGCUAAAAAGUUGGAAAUUAAGCAAUCAGCUGAAGGAACACAAGAAGUUUCUGGACUCUCUGAGGUGCCUAUAAGUUAAGUAGCCAAUCUCACUGCUUAUUGAGAGUGACAGUUCGUGGGGAGAUGUGAUUUCAGCUCUUGCAUCAAAGACUUCUCACAUUCCUUACCCAUAUUCAGUUAUAUCAUUGAACUCAAAGCUUACCCAUAUUCUUUAGAGCUCUCUAGGAGGUGAUUGUAGGACAUUGAUGUUCAUCGGAUUUGGGAGAAACAAUUUGUUCCCUAAAUUUUGCAAGCAGAGUGAGAGGUGUUGAACAUGGUCAGCUAGAAAACAAACUGAUGUCACUGAGCUAUUCAAGUACAAGCAGCUGACUGAGAAAGCAAAACAUGAUGAGAAAGAAACCAAAAAGUUGCAGGAUAAUCUCCAGUCUGUGCAACUCUGUCUUUCUGCAAGGGAACACAUAUGUAGAACUCUACAAGAAAAGGUGUCUGACUACAUUGAUCAAUUGAAUUUACUUUUAAUCCACAUUGAUCUUUAUAUGUUUGUUUUUUGAAAUAUUGGAUAAAAUGUAUGGAUUUUGUUUUUAAAAAUGACAUUUAAUUUUCAUAUUA
Molecule: non-coding RNA, 1619 nt
Organism: Lactuca sativa (garden lettuce)
Lineage: Eukaryota; Viridiplantae; Streptophyta; Magnoliopsida; Asterales; Asteraceae
Source: RefSeq, a predicted model, not a curated record